Molecule: long non-coding RNA, 1501 nt
Organism: Cryptomeria japonica (Japanese cedar)
Lineage: Eukaryota; Viridiplantae; Streptophyta; Pinopsida; Cupressales; Cupressaceae
Exons: 2
Source: RefSeq, a predicted model, not a curated record
CACGCAUAUAAAAGCAUAAAAGUAAGAAAUUGAAAAUACAGAAACAAAGACUUUUUAAAAAGGUUAUUUGCCUUAGCGCAUUGAAGAAGCAAUAGUGAUAUAUCUUCAAUUUCUUCUUCUUCCUGCGCAAUAAGUUAAGAGAAAUUUUUGAUAUGGGAGUGAAUACCUUUCUUGAUUUGUAUUCGUUUUCAUUUUCUUGUGCCCUCUGCUCUCUUCCAGUUCUACUCGUCAUUUUCUCAAGAAGAUAUGCAGAAUCCCCUUGGCGUUUAUCUGAGUUAGCUUCUAUGUUGAAAACUAAGGCUGAGAGUAUUCUUGUGUUUUAUGAUGUGACGCCAUCCGAUCUGAACUGUGGAAUGUAUGCAGAUGCCUUAGUGCAAUAUUUGGAGAAGGGCAUUCACCCCAACGAAUUUGUGGAGUGGAAAGAAGCCCUCAGUGCACUCUUGGCUACAAGCUCAACGGGCAUACAAUCAUGGUCAUGAUAAGCUGAUCGGUUUGCUGCGCUGAAGAGAUAGACAAGAGGAAAGCAGCAGAUGACGUCAAAAGAAGAACAAUAAAGUUCAAAUAAUUGGCAUCUUUGGAAUGGGGGUUUGUAAAAUUCAAUCACAACCGUUCAGAAUUCUAUGAAUCAUGUGUUGCGAUUACAGUGAGAGAAACAUAUGCUAAAAGCGAAUUAUCUUCUCUGCAAACUAAACUCCUUGAAGAUCUGCUUGAAGAAACACGCUAUAUCUAGCGUGGUGUUUGAAGGUGCAGCUCUUUGUUCUUAUGCUCUCUUAUAGAUGACGUGGAUUGGGUGGACCAGUUAGAUGCCCUAUUCUACACAACUUUCCUUGAAUCUUAGUGGUCUGUAAUUGUCACAAUUUGAGUUUGUUGAGCUCUCUAGUCUUGUAAUUGCCAUAACCCUAGAUGAGCUUGCUGAAAUCUAUAGUUUUGAUAGUUUGAUAAUUGGUAAUUGUCACAACCCAAGAUGGAUUUGUCGAAUCUAAUAGUUUGGUGUGAAAACAUAAUACUACAAAUAUUUGUUGAUAAUGUCCGAACUUGUCCAUGUUACAAAUUUUUUCCAUUGGUUUGCAUUUCGAUGAUCACAGGAGUUUUCUAAAAGGGUUUGCAGAUUUGUCUGUGGAGUUUUCUCAAAGGGUUUGCAGAUUUGUCUGUGCCAAGUCUUAAGCACGGGAUGGAUCUAUUUAGUGUGCUGAUCAUGCUCUUAUGGAGGAUUUCAAGAACUCACAAGAGUCUUGCUUUUGCUUUUAUAAGGCAUGACCAUCUUCACAUAUGGGAAAAUAAAUGUAAACUAAAUUUAUUCUUCCUUGUCAGCUGUGGCACAGUGUGCCUCUUGCUCUAGAUUUCAACUCCUAUGAUGAUAUUGAAAAUUUUACAAGUUGUUGGAAGCUUUCUGUAGCCUUAUCAUGUUUUAAUUUUUUCCUUUUGGCAGCAUAUAUUUGAUCUGCACCAAUAGCAAUGAUCUUUAGAAACUGGCAAUUUAAUUCAAUUUUUUAUCCCUUAA